This 420-nucleotide ribosomal RNA is filed under the name uncultured bacterium. RNAcentral describes it as "bacterial SSU rRNA". It matches the Rfam family "Bacterial small subunit ribosomal RNA", at positions 45 to 445 of the family's 1533-position model. The record is from RNAcentral.
GGCCUAACACAUGCAAGUCGAGCGGCAGCACAGGCGUAGCAAUACGUUGGGUGGCGAGCGGCGGACGGGUGAGGAACACAUCGGAAUCUACCCUGUCGUGGGGGACAACGUAGGGAAACUUACGCUAAUACCGCAUACGACCGCGCAUUGACAGAUGCGCGGUGAAAGCGGGGGACUCGCAAGAGCCUCGCGCGACUGGAUGAGCCGAUGUCCGAUUAGCUAGUUGGCGGGGUAAUGGCCCACCAAGGCGACGAUCGGUAGCUGGUCUGAGAGGACGACCAGCCACACUGGAACUGAGACACGGUCCAGACUCCUACGGGAGGCAGCAGUGGGGAAUAUUGGACAAUGGGGGCAACCCUGAUCCAGCCAUGCCGCGUGGGUGAAGAAGGCCUUCGGGUUGUAAAGCCCUUUUGUACGGGA